Molecule: ribosomal RNA, 456 nt
Filed under: uncultured Hydrogenophaga sp.
Lineage: Bacteria; Pseudomonadati; Pseudomonadota; Betaproteobacteria; Burkholderiales; Comamonadaceae
Description: bacterial SSU rRNA
Rfam family: Bacterial small subunit ribosomal RNA
Source: RNAcentral
ACGACAAGCGGUGGAUGAUGUGGUUUAAUUCGAUGCAACGCGAAAACCUUACCCACCUUUGACAUGUAUGAAGUUCCAGAGAUGGAUUCGUGCUCGAAAGAGAGCCAUAACACAGGUGCUGCAUGGCUGUCGUCAGCUCGUGUCGUGAGAUGUUGGUUAAGUCCCGCAACGAGCGCAACCCUUGUCAUUAGUUGCUACAUUCAGUUGGGCACUCUAAUGAGACUGCCGGUGACAAACCGGAGGAAGGUGGGGAUGACGUCAAGUCCUCAUGGCCCUUAUAGGUGGGGCUACACACGUCAUACAAUGGCCGGUACAAAGGGUCGCAAACCCGCGAGGGGGAGCCAAUCCAUCAAAGCCGGUCGUAGUCCGGAUCGCAGUCUGCAACUCGACUGCGUGAAGUCGGAAUCGCUAGUAAUCGUGGAUCAGCAUGUCACGGUGAAUACGUUCCCGGGUCUU